GUGCAAAUGAUGUAAUAGCAUAUUGUCUGACUAGAAUGAUGUGUUCAAAGGAACCACUGAUGCAC
Small nucleolar RNA from Bombina bombina (fire-bellied toad), 65 nucleotides. RefSeq annotates it as small nucleolar RNA SNORD42. The transcript has a single exon. NCBI's taxonomy places the organism in Eukaryota, Metazoa, Chordata, Amphibia, Anura, Bombinatoridae. The record is from RefSeq and is a predicted model, not a curated record.